This 506-nucleotide ribosomal RNA is filed under the name uncultured bacterium. Its description in RNAcentral is "partial 16S ribosomal RNA". It matches the Rfam family "Bacterial small subunit ribosomal RNA", at positions 30 to 523 of the family's 1533-position model. The record is from RNAcentral.
AUUGAACGCUAACAGCGUGCUUAACACAUGCAAGUCGAGCGGCAGCACAGUAGUAGCAAUACUAUGGGUGGCGAGCGGCGGACGGGUGAGUAAUGCAUAGGAAUCUGCCUUGUAGUGGGGGAUAACCCGGGGAAACUCGGGCUAAUACCGCAUAAUCUCUACGGAGCAAAGUGGGGGACCGUAAGGCCUCACGCUAAAAGAUGAGCCUAUGUUGGAUUAGCUAGUUGGUAGGGUAAAGGCCUACAAAGGCAACGAUCAAUAGCUGGUCUGGUAGGAUGAUCAGCCACACUGGGAAUGAGAAACGGACCAGACUCCUACGGGAGGCAGCAGUGGGGAAUAUUGGACAAUGGGGGAAACCCUGAUCCAGCAACGCAGUGUGAGUGCAGAAGGCCUUAGCUAUGCAAAGGACUUCUAGUUGAGCCGAAAAGCUAAAGGUUAAGACCCAUCAGUAAUGCCACAAGCAACAGAAAAAGCAAUGGCUACCUCUUUGCCAGCCGCCGCGGUAA